RNAcentral lists this transfer RNA (93 nucleotides) under Burkholderiaceae bacterium. Its description in RNAcentral is "tRNA-Sec". It matches the Rfam family "Selenocysteine transfer RNA". The record is from RNAcentral. Lineage: Bacteria; Pseudomonadati; Pseudomonadota; Betaproteobacteria; Burkholderiales; Burkholderiaceae.
GGAGGGGCAGGGUUUCCCGGUGGAGCACCCGGUCUUCAAAACCGGUGGGAUGCGCCUGGCGCGUCCGGUGGGUUCGACUCCCACGCCCUUCCG